Molecule: transfer RNA, 74 nt
Filed under: Rickettsiales bacterium (ex Bugula neritina AB1)
Lineage: Bacteria; Pseudomonadati; Pseudomonadota; Alphaproteobacteria; Rickettsiales
Description: tRNA-Lys
Rfam family: tRNA
About the family: Transfer RNA (tRNA) molecules are approximately 80 nucleotides in length. Their secondary structure includes four short double-helical elements and three loops (D, anti-codon, and T loops).
Source: RNAcentral
GGCUACAUAGCUCAACCAGGUAGAGCUCCCGGCUUUUAACCGGAUGGUUAUGGGUUCGAUUCCCAUUGUCGCCA